Molecule: transfer RNA, 118 nt
Filed under: Nitrososphaerota archaeon
Lineage: Archaea; Thermoproteati; Nitrososphaerota
Description: Thaumarchaeota archaeon tRNA-OTHER
Rfam family: tRNA
About the family: Transfer RNA (tRNA) molecules are approximately 80 nucleotides in length. Their secondary structure includes four short double-helical elements and three loops (D, anti-codon, and T loops).
Source: RNAcentral
GCGGGGGUACCCGAGCCCGGUCAAUGCUUGAGAUGGGCUACAAGAGGGGGCAGAACGAUGGCCUACACUCAAGAUCUGUUCGUUAAGGCGUACGUGGGUUCGAAUCCCACCCCCCGCA